CAGUCGCCACGGUAAUACGUAGGGCGCGAGCGUUAUCCGGAAUUAUUGGGCGUAAAGAGCUCGUAGGCGGUUUGUCGCGUCUGCCGUGAAAGUCCGGGGCUCAACUCCGGAUCUGCGGUGGGUACGGGCAGACUAGAGUGAUGUAGGGGAGACUGGAAUUCCUGGUGUAGCGGUGAAAUGCGCAGAUAUCAGGAGGAACACCGAUGGCGAAGGCAGGUCUCUGGGCAUUAACUGACGCUGAGGAGCGAAAGCAUGGGGAGCGAACAGGAUUAGAUACCCCUGUAGUCCCUGUCUCUUAUCC
This 301-nucleotide ribosomal RNA is filed under the name uncultured bacterium. RNAcentral's name for it is "partial 16S ribosomal RNA". It matches the Rfam family "Bacterial small subunit ribosomal RNA", at positions 509 to 809 of the family's 1533-position model. The record is from RNAcentral.